GGUCACUGGAGGCGGCACUCCAGCAGGGAGUACUGGAGGGGGGACUGGAGGAAGUGGGCCAAAAGGCACACGUUUCCAGUUAUAAGUGGCCUCUGAGUGUCUCCAUAAGAGUGUCACAUUCACAGAAAUACAACUGAGGAGAGAACUCACGGUGUGACACAAGCAGACGGCGGUCACAGAAGCAGUGGCACAGGCAGGCUUAUGUUGUAAUUUCAUGAUCACAACGGACAGCUGAACUGAUCGAACUGCAGCUGGGAUGUGCAGAGUGAGGGUGUCUGUUAUGACAAUUGGUAUGUAAACCUCAGCGUCUGCACCUUUCAUGGCGGUAAGAGACUGAUGCAGGAAGCACAAGGAAGAGAAGUAACUAAAUAUGGUGCCAAGUGAACAUGAUUGCACCUUAUGACACAGAGACGCCCACGCCAACAAUAUGGGGUGGAGUCAGCUGGCGGCGGAGGAACCACCUAGAACGCUCAGAGAGCCAGUGGGAUAAAUUGGAGUGUCUCCUGAGGGCCUCCAAAUAUAGGCAUCAGUCAUGAGGGGGCUGCCUUCUACUAAGAGAAGCAGAAGAGAAAUAAAAGCUAUUUCAAAGAGU
Long non-coding RNA from Suricata suricatta (meerkat), 592 nucleotides. RefSeq lists it as uncharacterized. The record is from RefSeq and is a predicted model, not a curated record. NCBI's taxonomy places the organism in Eukaryota, Metazoa, Chordata, Mammalia, Carnivora, Herpestidae. The transcript is spliced from 3 exons.